This 231-nucleotide ribosomal RNA is filed under the name uncultured bacterium. Its description in RNAcentral is "partial 16S ribosomal RNA". It matches the Rfam family "Bacterial small subunit ribosomal RNA", at positions 91 to 334 of the family's 1533-position model. The record is from RNAcentral.
UACAGCGGCGUACGGGUGAGUAACACGUGGAUGAUCUACCUUCUAGUGGGGGGAGUAACCCUGGGAAACCGGGGCUAAUACCGCAUAAGCCUGUGAAGGGAAAGCAGCAAUGCGCUGGAAGAGGAGUCCGCGGCCGAUUAGCUAGUUGGUGAGGUAACGGCCCACCAAGGCGACGAUCGGUAGCCGGCCUGAGAGGGCACACGGCCACACUGGCACUGAAACACGGGCCAG